CCCAGACUCCUACUGGAGGCAGCAGUGCGGAAUAUUGGUCCAUGGGCGAGAUCCUGCACCAGCCACGUCGCGUGAAGGAUGACGGCCCUACGGGUUGUCCACUUCUUUUGUCCUGGAGCAAUUGGGUCCACGCGUUUUCUUCGCGAGAGUCCCUGCAGAAAAAUCCUCUUCUAACUCCUUGCCCGCAGCCGCUUUCCUACGGAGGCUGCUCUCGUUAUCCGGAUUUAUUGGGUUUAAAGGGUGCGUAGGCGGAAGAUCAAGUCAGAGUGAAAAAUUCGGGGAGCAACCCCGUCGUGCCGUUGAAACUGAUGUUCUUGAGUGGGCGAGAAGGAUGCGGAAUGCGGGGUGUAGCGGUGAAAUGCAUAGAGAGAACGCAGAACUCCGAUUGCGAAGGCAGCAUACCGGCGCCCAACUGACGCUGAAGCACGAAAGCGUGGGUAGCGAACAGGAUUAGAUACCCGGGUAA
Molecule: ribosomal RNA, 466 nt
Filed under: uncultured bacterium
Lineage: Bacteria
Description: bacterial SSU rRNA
Rfam family: Bacterial small subunit ribosomal RNA
Source: RNAcentral